GAUGAAAAGCGUGGCUUGGCAGCACCGCGAGGGGCAACGGAGGGACCGCCGGGAGGGCAGCUGGCUCGACCCGGCCCACCGCGUCUCCGGGGAUACCGCCUUCCUGCCUCGGGCUCCGGGCCCCGGAAGCGGCGAAAAGCCACUCGGGAAGCCGCUCGCUCACCUCUGACCCCACCCCGAAUCUCGCGCGCCUACCCCAUCCCCCGCAGGCGCGCCACGGCCACCCGCCGCAGCCCACCUGUGCGGGCCGCAGCCUCAGGAUAUCGCCGUUGGCUCGGCCAGAACGCGACGCGCCGGCGCCGCGCUGCCGGCUACGCGCCCGCCCGCCGCUCGCUCCGCACGCCCCCUUGCCCGCGCGGCGCCACAGCUCAGCCGACCGCCUGUUACGGCGCCCGCGCUUCCGAUUGGCGCACUGGGCGGGCGACCGCGGGCGGAAGCGGUAGAGGUGGGAAGGCGGGGCCGCGGCCAGGAGACUCGACGCCAGGAUGCUCUCGCCUGGGACUGGUCCUCGCGAGGCCUUUUGUGACUAAGGCCCGGUGUUGGGGCGAGGCUCACGAGCGCUUUCGCUGGUCCGGCAUCCAGGCAAACUUACUGAACCAGUACUAGUCAAACUCUGAAGAUCUCAAGGACUUGCUCUGGUUCGUGCUUGCAUCUCUAAUGCCUACUGAAAUAGCCUCCAGAUGAAAACUCAGCUCAGCUGACCCCUUUAUUUCUGCUUCGUGAUUUACUGAGUAGAGGACCCAGUCACACCAUGCCGGACGUCAGGACUACGGAAUUAAAUCUUCUGACAUCUUCAGCUGCUCUGUGAAAUCUACUAUAAUAUGCUGUGAGUUGGAUAAUGCAGCCACCCUAGAGAAGGCAAGGCAAAAGAUGGAGAGAAAGAAACCAGUUUGGGGUGACAUUAUUUAAACCCCUGAAUCAAAAAUUACUUGAAGGUAAGUGUUUGCCUGACAUUUCCAGUUAUAUGAGCCAAUACAUUCCCUUUUAUUGUUUAAGCCAGGUUGUUUUUUAGUGUGUAUGUUUUCUUCACUGGCUGCUGAAGGAGUCCUAACUUACUUAUCAUCUAACAAUGCUCAUCACACUUCAUUGUUAUUGCUUAUGUAAGAUCUGACUUCCUUGCUAGACUAUAACCUCCAUUACCUUCCAUUACAUUCUAUGAUCUAUU
This is a non-coding RNA of Delphinapterus leucas (beluga whale), 1165 nucleotides long. The record is from RefSeq and is a predicted model, not a curated record. Lineage: Eukaryota; Metazoa; Chordata; Mammalia; Artiodactyla; Monodontidae.